CACACUUCCCCAGCUACAUUUCAAAAUUGGCGUCGAAAUCUUUUACUAUUCAUCUUCCUCUCAACUCUCAACUCAGUCAUUCUACAAUCACAAUCACAAUGGGUUCGCUUUGUUUUCUAGAUGAACCCUUGCACUACCCUGUUGCUCGCAGAGACGAGUCCGUCGUCGACGACUACCACGGCGUUAAGAUCGCCGACCCUUAUCGCUGGCUGGAGGAUCCUGACGCAGAGGAAGUGAAAGAGUUUGUGGAAGAGCAGGUGAAAUUGACAGAGUCGGUGCUCGAGAAAUGCGAGACGAGAGAGAAGCUUCGCGAGAAGAUUACGAAGCUCUAUGAUCACCCGCGUUAUGGCGCGCCUUUUAAGCGUGGAGGCAAGUACUUUUACUUCCACAACACUGGCCUCCAAGCCCAGAGCGUCCUCUACGUACAGGAUAGUUUGGAUGGAGAGCCUGAGGUUUUGCUGGACCCAAAUGCGCUUAGUGAAGAUGGAACUGUCUCUUUGAGCUCGCUUUCAAUUAGUGAGGAUGCUAAAUACUUGGCCUAUGGGCUUAGUGCUAGCGGUAGCGAUUGGGUGACAAUUAAUGUAAUGCGGGUUGAGGAUAAGAAAGUUGAGGCUGAUACAUUAUCAUGGGUUAAGUUUUCGACUAUUAGUUGGACACAUGAUGGCAAAGGGUUUUUCUACUGUCGAUAUCCUGCUCCCAAAGAGGGAGAAAAUGUAGAUGCUGGGACAGAGACCAAUUCUAACCUUUAUCAGGAGGUAUACUAUCAUUUCUUGGGUUCAGAUCAAUCUGAAGAUAUUUUAUGCUGGAGAGAUCCUGAAAACCCUAAAUACAGGUUCAGAGCCAGUGUUACACAUGAUGGGAAGUAUGUUCUCCUGUACAUCAAAAAGGAUUCUGGCCUUGUCAAUAAAUUUUAUUAUUGUGACUUUUCUGAUCUUCCUAAUGGGCUUGUGGGUUUGAAGGGAAAGAAAGCCUUGCUCCCGUUUAUUAAGCUUAUUGAUGAAUUUGAUGCUUUUUACGAUGCCAUUGCAAAUGAUGAUACUUUGUUUACCUUUCGGACAAAUAAAGAUGCUCCAAAAUAUAAGUUAAUCCGAGUAGAUCUGAAGGAACCAACUGUUUGGACUGAUGUUCUCCAAGAAGACGAAAAGGAUGUACUUGAAUCAGCUUGUGCUGUUAAUGGUAACCAAAUGAUUGUGAGUUACCUGAGUGAUGUUAAGUAUGUUCUACAGACAAGGGACUUGAAAUCAGGUUCCUUUCUACAUCAAUUACCCAUUGACAUUGGGACAGUCUAUGGGAUUUCUGCAAGGCGCACAGACAAUGUGGUUUUUAUUGGGUUUACUAGCUUUCUUAGCCCUGGAAUUAUUUAUCAGUGUAAUUUAGAAACUGAGGUUCCCAAUAUGAAGAUAUUUCGUGAAAUUGUUGUUCCUGGGUUUGAUCGCUCAGAGUUCCAUGUUGAUCAGGUUUUUGUGCCUAGUAAGGAUGGUACCAAGAUACCAGUGUUCAUUGUGGCAAGAAAGAAUAUUCUUUUGGAUGGAUCACACUCUUGUUUGUUAUAUGGAUAUGGUGGAUUUAACAUUAGCAUUACACCAUCAUUCAGUGUUGGUCGUAUUGUACUCAUAAGGCAUCUAGGUGCUGUUUUCUGCAUAGCAAACAUUCGUGGUGGUGGAGAAUAUGGAGAGGAAUGGCAUAAAGCAGGCUCACAUGCAAAGAAGCAGAAUUGCUUUGAUGACUUCAUUUCUGCCGCUGAAUAUCUUAUAUCUUCUGGCUAUACCCAACCCAGAAAGUUGUGUAUUGAAGGUGGAAGCAAUGGUGGGCUUCUUGUUGGGGCUUGCAUAAAUCAGAGACCUGAUCUUUUUGGUUGUGCUUUGGCUCAUGUUGGUGUUAUGGACAUGCUGCGAUAUCAUAAGUUUACUAUAGGCCAUUCAUGGACUUCUGAUUAUGGUUGUUCAGACAAGGAGGAAGAAUUUUACUGGCUAAUCAAGCAAUACUCCAGCUCAGAGUGGCAUCCCCUUCUAUCUUCCCUCACUGAUGUGUCUACAUUGAUGUUUGUGAAAAGGGCUGUAGAUAGAGUAAAUUUAGAGGGCUCAACAUUGCUUAACUUGGGCUUUUCAGCCAUUAGAACACCACAGUAGCUUGCAUGGGCUUUAAUUGUGAUAAUUGGGACUUCCAUAAUGGUGUUGUAAUGUUCUCCAUGCAUUAGCUGUUCUUGAGUUUCCAAACCGUGUCCAAACUCCAAUGCAAGCAGAGUGAAUUGGUCAUUUGGAAUUUCUGGGUCAACUAGACCUUCUGGUGGAGAUAUGAAUAUUCACUAGUCUUAUAAUUGUGUUUGUUUGAAUUGCUCCAAUUAUAAAUCCCCACUGGUUCCCCAUCCAAGCUAGUCUUAUGACUAGGCACAUCUCAGAUAGGUGCAAUUCAUCCUCAUCUUCCCUAUGGCAAAGAGGACAGAAUGACAAUUUACAGGGGCAUAACCUGCUUUACUGGUAUUCUCCACUACAUAAUAUCAGGAGACCUUGGGAACAGCAUCUGGAUCUACCUUCCCAGUAUCCAUCCACAAUGUUAUUGACUGCUGAUCAUGAUGAUAGGGUUGUGCCAUUGCACUCAUUGAAGUUACUAGCG
This is an RNA transcript of Quercus robur (English oak), 2613 nucleotides long. RefSeq lists it as uncharacterized. NCBI's taxonomy places the organism in Eukaryota, Viridiplantae, Streptophyta, Magnoliopsida, Fagales, Fagaceae. The record is from RefSeq and is a predicted model, not a curated record. The transcript has 11 exons.